AUUGAACGCUGGCGGCACGCCUUACACAUGCAAGUCGAACGGCAGCACGGGUGCUUGCACCUGGUGGCGAGUGGCGAACGGGUGAGUAAUACAUCGGAACGUACCUUAUCGUGGGGGAUAACGCAGCGAAAGCUGUGCUAAUACCGCAUACGCCCUGAGGGGGAAAGCGGGGGAUCGAAAGACCUCGCGCGAUUAGAGCGGCCGAUGCCUGAUUAGCUUGUUGGUGGGGUAAAAGCCCACCAAGGCGACGAUCAGUAGCUGGUCUGAGAGGACGAGUAGCCACAGGGGGACGGAGACACGGCGCAGACGCCUACGGGAGGCGUCAGUGGGGAAUUUUGGACAAUGGAGGCAACCCUGCUCCAGCAAUGCCGCGUGAGUGAAGAAGGCCUUCGGGUUGUAAAGCUCUUUUGUCAGGGAAGAAACACCGGCUCUAACACAGUCCGGGAAUGACGGUACCUGAAGAAUAAGCACCGGCUAACUACGUGCCAGCCGCCGCCGUAA
RNAcentral lists this ribosomal RNA (501 nucleotides) under uncultured bacterium. Its description in RNAcentral is "partial 16S ribosomal RNA". It matches the Rfam family "Bacterial small subunit ribosomal RNA", at positions 29 to 523 of the family's 1533-position model. The record is from RNAcentral.